AAGUCGUAACAAGGUAACCGUAGGUGAACCUGCGGUUGGAUCAUUACAAAAGAUGCUUGCCUGGUCGCGAAUCCGGAGGGUCUUACCCAAUGGCUCGUUCGUUGGCCUUGCAACAUAUCCACCCCACCUGUGAACUGUAAACGUAUUUUGGCGGCCCUCCAAAAACUCGAUCGGAUGCAAGUCUGGUUGAAUGGGCCGUCAGCCCCCCCAAUUUUAAUAAACACCUUUAUUAUUCUGAGUCUGUUUGAAAGCGCGACGUGAUUUAUUUCGCUGAACGCCGACGAAUAACAAAAACCAAAAAAUUAAAAACAACUUUUGACAACGGAUCUCUUGGCUCUC
This 339-nucleotide unclassified non-coding RNA is filed under the name fungal sp. RNAcentral's name for it is "partial internal transcribed spacer region". The stretch from base 1 to 46 matches the Rfam family "Eukaryotic small subunit ribosomal RNA", at positions 1786 to 1831 of the family's 1831-position model. The record is from RNAcentral. Lineage: Eukaryota; Fungi.